CGGCGGGAGAGAAGGCGAGGGAGGUGGACGCAUGGAAGAAAGACGAGGGGUGCGGCCGAGUAGCGACGCGCGGGUCC
RNAcentral lists this small RNA (77 nucleotides) under uncultured Mantoniella. RNAcentral describes it as "partial Alphaproteobacteria transfer-messenger RNA". The record is from RNAcentral. Lineage: Eukaryota; Viridiplantae; Chlorophyta; Mamiellophyceae; Mamiellales.